RNAcentral lists this ribosomal RNA (488 nucleotides) under uncultured bacterium. RNAcentral's name for it is "partial 16S ribosomal RNA". It matches the Rfam family "Bacterial small subunit ribosomal RNA", at positions 28 to 507 of the family's 1533-position model. The record is from RNAcentral.
GACGAACGCUGGCGGCGUGCUUAACACAUGCAAGUCGAACGGAAAGGCCCUGCUCUUGUGGGGUGCUCGAGUGGCGAACGGGUGAGUAACACGUGAGUAACCUGCCCUUGACUUUGGGAUAACUUCAGGAAACUGGGGCUAAUACCGGAUAGGAGCUCCUGCUGCAUGGUGGGGGUUGGAAAGUUUCGGCGGUUGGGGAUGGACUCGCGGGUUAUCAGCUUGUUGGUGGGGUAGUGGCUUAUCAAGGCUGCGAUGGCUAGCCGACCUGAGAGGGUGGUCGGCGACAGGGGAAGUGGCAGACCGCACUGAGUCUGAGGGGCGGCCCAAGCUCCGAAGGGUGGCAGAUGGGGGGAAUCUUGAACAAGCGGCGGAGGCCGAGUGCAGCAGGUCCGUGGGCGGGAAGACGGUGUUAGGGUUGAAGAACGCUUUCGCUCGUAACGAAGCUUUGUGUGACGGUAGUGGGUAAAGAAGCACCGGCUAACUACGUG